UACGUAGGUGGCAAGCGUUGUCCGGAAUUAUUGGGCGUAAAGCGCGCGCAGGCGGCCUUUUAAGUCUGAUGUGAAAGCCCACGGCUCAACCGUGGAAGGUCAUUGGAAACUGAAAGGCUUGAGUACAGAAGAGGAAAGCGGAAUUCCACGUGUAGCGGUGAAAUGCGUAGAGAUGUGGAGGAACACCAGUGGCGAAGGCGGCUUUCUGGUCUGUAACUGACGCUGAGGCGCGAAAGCGUGGGGAGCAAACGGG
Molecule: ribosomal RNA, 253 nt
Filed under: uncultured bacterium
Lineage: Bacteria
Description: partial 16S ribosomal RNA
Rfam family: Bacterial small subunit ribosomal RNA
Source: RNAcentral